RNAcentral lists this long non-coding RNA (1317 nucleotides) under Oryctolagus cuniculus (rabbit). RNAcentral describes it as "lncRNA (ENSOCUG00000038644.1)". The record is from RNAcentral. Lineage: Eukaryota; Metazoa; Chordata; Mammalia; Lagomorpha; Leporidae.
AGUUACACAGCCAUAUCUGCCAAAGGCUUUUGCUAUUUGAUUCAUGCUGAUCUCUGUUUACCUAAAAUAAGAAGGUCAGACUAAAUCAUCUAAAACAUCUUGUGUUCCUUGAACGUAACUUGGUCUAUAAGUGUAUUUAAACACAUAUGUCCUAUAUUUUUUGGAGAAUGCAUUUCUAUCAUUAAUACUCUAUUGGUAGUAAAAUAGCAGUCUCAUGAUAUUCACCAUUAUGUGGCAAAAUGAUCACUCUUUCUACCUUAAUUUACAGAUUAUUGUCUAUUAAGUACCAACAGCAGAGAAGUCAAAGAGCUUCGAUCACUACCUUUUCCAAGUUUAUUCAUCUUCCAGAAGUAGUAUAUGUGAAAGGAUUGUUCAAUUCAAUACUAACUUCUCAUAAUCCCAAUAUCUUGGACUAUAUGUAAAGGAACUUGUUCACAAAAUCACAGAAAACAACUACAGAAAAUAUAUUCUCACCAGUCUGAAAUCCAAAAACAAAUUUACCUUCUAUACAUGUGCAGAAUCCAGUCAGGAAAGCACCUGCUCUGUACAAUGUUUACAAGAUGCAUGUGGUUGCAGAGGGGCCAUGUGGAUGUUGGAGGUAAAGUGCAGCACUGGACUGGUUUUGUAAGAAAUUUAAAAUGUGAGUAGGUUAAAACCUAGUAAAAAUGGCUGGGUUUUCUGUGAAAGUCUAUGGCACAAUCAAAACUUUAUAAUUCAUGUUUAAAUUAAAUGAACUAGCAAGUACCUUUAAAUAACAGGAAAAGGGAGAAAAUAAUGCAGCCUGCUUUUGUGGAAGGCCUCCUGCUCCAACUGCUUAGCAGUAUGUUCCAGAUUCUGCCAUUAUCAGAGGCAGUUGCUGAGAUGUGAACAGCUCUUAAGUUGUGGGCAUCUACCUGAGGUCCCUGACUACAAAGGGAGAGGAUGUAGCUUUACAAUUCUUCAAAAUCAAUGAAUCAAACCAAAAUGGGCAAAUAGGGAAUUUCCCAAAUUCCAACCUCUCCUGCAAUGGUCAAGUUGGACCAUUUUUUUUUCUAGACAUUAUAGCAAUUUAAAAAAGAAGGACCCAAAUCUGGACAUUUUCAUACUGUCUCUAAAAAUCUAUUGAAAUAGACUAAAAAAUGGCAAGGCUGAACAUGGUUGGCUUUGGUGCAUUAUAAAAGAGAAUUUUGAUUUUAUUUUUAAAUAUGUAAAGUACCUUCAAAGACUGGAGGAAAAGAUUUAUUACAUUAUGGCUGCAAAGUAGAAUUUAAUAUUCUAUGUUCCUAACUCAUUCCAUUUAUUUCACUAACAAUAAAGAACUAUUUCUAUGAGUAUUCA